CCUGUAUGCUAACAUUGCCUAUGUAAAUUUUAAAAUCGUUUGUAUGCACAUUGAACGACAAAUUUAUGUGACGUAUAAAGUUUUCUGACGUCAGACACUCAAAUCAAUGAAUGUGUUCGUAGAUAGUAGAUGUUUUUGUGUUCUGUUAAAUUGUUCCUUUUAAAAUUGUUAUACGAUGAUGACUGAUGUACCCAUAUUUUGACUAUUUUAUUUAUUGUGUCUGUUUAUUUAACGCAUCAAUGUAAAUAUAACGGAAUUUGAUGAGACUGUCAUUAAAGUGAGAGGGUUAGCGCUAUAGAACCAGGUUUAAUCCACCAUUUUCUACAUUUGCAAAUGCCUGUACCAAGUCAGGAAUAUGACAGUUCUUGUCCAUUCGUUUUUUAUACGUUUUGUUAUUUGAUUUUGCCAUGUGAUAAUGGACUUUCCGAAUUGAUUUUCC
RNAcentral lists this long non-coding RNA (439 nucleotides) under Mytilus galloprovincialis (Mediterranean mussel). The record is from RNAcentral. Lineage: Eukaryota; Metazoa; Mollusca; Bivalvia; Mytilida; Mytilidae.